GGUAAAAAUAGGAAUUAACCUAUGUAACAGGGGCUACAACCCUGCACCUACUCUCGGCCAUUUUACC
RNAcentral lists this transfer RNA (67 nucleotides) under Proteus anguinus (olm). RNAcentral's name for it is "tRNA-Tyr". Lineage: Eukaryota; Metazoa; Chordata; Amphibia; Caudata; Proteidae. The record is from RNAcentral.